AAGUCGUAACAAGGUUUCCGUAGGUGAACCUGCGGAAGGAUCAUUAAAGAGUUAGGGUCUCACAGGCCCGAACCUCCAACCCUUUGUUGUUAUAACUACCUCGUUGCUUUGGCGGGACCGCUCGGUCCCCGAGCUGCCGGUCUUAGGCCCGGCAUGCGCCCGCCAGAGUCUACUCAAACUCUUGUUUUAACCGGUCGUCUGAGUAAAAUUUUUGAAUUAAAUCAAAA
Molecule: unclassified non-coding RNA, 227 nt
Filed under: plant metagenome
Description: partial contains small subunit ribosomal RNA and internal transcribed spacer 1
Rfam family: Eukaryotic small subunit ribosomal RNA (bases 1-46)
Source: RNAcentral